This 465-nucleotide ribosomal RNA is filed under the name uncultured bacterium. Its description in RNAcentral is "partial 16S ribosomal RNA". It matches the Rfam family "Bacterial small subunit ribosomal RNA", at positions 338 to 796 of the family's 1533-position model. The record is from RNAcentral.
CCUACGGGGGGCUGCAGUGGGAAUUUUUCGCAAUGGGGGCAACCCUGACGAAGCAAUGCCGCGUGAAUGAAGAAGGCCUUCGGGUUGUAAAGUUCUUUCGUGGAGGACGAAAAGGUGGGGGCUAAUAUCGCCUGCUGUUGACGGGAAUCCAAGAAAAAGCACCGGCUAAAUCCGUGCCAGCAGCCGCGGUAAUACGGGGGGGGCAAGCGUUAAUCGGAAUCACUGGGCGUAAAGGGUGCGUAGGCGGUGCAUUAGGUCUGUCGUGAAAUCCCCGGGCUCAACCUGGGAAUGGCGGUGGAAACCGGUGUACUAGAGUAUGGGAGAGGGUGGUGGAAUUCCAGGUGUAGCGGUGAAAUGCGUAGAGAUCUGGAGGAACAUCAGUGGCGAAGGCGGCCACCUGGCCCAAUACUGACGCUGAGGCACGAAAGCGUGGGGAGCAAACAGGAUUAGAUACCCGAGUAGUCA